UCUUUUAACAAAAGGGAGUGUAAUUUACUAAAAAAAAGGGUAUAAUUUUCUUUGUCUUCAUUUGAACAGACCUUUCUAACUUGAAGCCACUUCGCUAUCCAAAUCUUUAUGAUAAAAAUGCUCACUUUGAAGUGCCACCAUAGCAUUACUAAUCUUCAUAUUCUUCAUGAAGAAGAACACAAUAUGUUGAAUGCUAUAUGAGAAUAAUAUCUCAUCACAAUACAUCACCAGAUUCUAUAUUGUGUGAGUAUAUAUAUGGGUUAAUUCCAAGUUGUUUUUGUGGUAGUGGGUGAUGUGUAGUCCAUCUUACGUUUCAAUGAUUAAGAAAUUCUUCUACAUAUGAAAUCAUUGGAUUUGUAAAUCGUAAUUGUUUGGUUGCUUCCAUGACCUUAAUGAUUCAUUGCGAAUUGAGAGAAAAAUUAUGUUGGAGGAAAUUGAUCAAAGGAAAACAAGAAACAAAGUGAGAAAUGAAUUAUGUUGGUAGUUAUUAAUCACACAUAAUUAAUUUUUGGAAGUUGUUAGUAAUCUUAUGUGGUUGUUGUAAUCUAUCUAUAUUAUCUAUCUAUCUUUGCUAUAUUUCAAACUAAGCUUGAGUUAUUCUUAUGC
Molecule: long non-coding RNA, 606 nt
Filed under: Medicago truncatula (barrel medic)
Lineage: Eukaryota; Viridiplantae; Streptophyta; Magnoliopsida; Fabales; Fabaceae
Description: lncRNA gene35733
Source: RNAcentral